This 253-nucleotide ribosomal RNA is filed under the name uncultured bacterium. RNAcentral describes it as "partial 16S ribosomal RNA". It matches the Rfam family "Archaeal small subunit ribosomal RNA", at positions 474 to 727 of the family's 1478-position model. The record is from RNAcentral.
UACCAGCACCCCGAGUGGUCGGGACGAUUAUUGGGCCUAAAGCCUCCGUAGCCGGUUCUACAAGUCUUCCGUUAAAUCCACCUGCUCAACAGUUGGGCUGCGGAGGAUACUAUAGAGCUAGGAGGCGGGAGAGGCAAGCGGUACUUAGUGGGUAGGGGUAAAAUCCGUUGAUCCAUUGAAGACCACCAGUGGCGAAGGCGGCUUGCCAGAACGCACUCGACGGUGAGGGAUGAAAGCUGGGGGAGCAAACCGG